AGGCAGACACAGACAGCCACGAUAGGCAGGCACGGACAGGCCUCAAUAGACCAACAGAAAUAGCCACGAUAGGCAGACACAGACAGGCCUCGAUAGACCAACAGAAAUAGCCACGAUAGGCAGACACGGACAGGCCUCGAAAGACCAACAGAAAUAGCCACGAUAGGCAGGCACAGACAGGCCUCGAUAGACCAACAGAAAUAGCCACGAUAGGCAGACACAGACAGGCCUCGAUAGGCCGAACAUAAAUAGCCACGAUAGGCCAGACGCCAGAGGUGUCAAGUAACGAAGUACAAAUACUUCGUUACUGUACUUAAGUAGAAAUUUGGGGUAUCUAUACUUUACUUGAGUGAUUAUUUUUCAGCAGACUUUUUACUUCUACUCCUUACAUUUUCAGGCAAGUAUCUGUACUUUCUAGUCCUUACAUUUUAAAAAUAGCUUCGUUACUGCUAUUUCAUUUCGGCUUGUUUUCAUUCCGGCUUGUCAUCAUUAAAAAAAAAAAAAAAAAACCUAUCCAGAUAAAUCGCGCCAUCCGGAUGGAGUGAAUUUGAUUGUGGUUGGAUGAGAAGUAUAAACAUAUACCAUUCCGACACCCUAUUGGUCUUUACGCGAUCCAUCGCACCUGCACGUGACACAAAUCACAUCACAGUCCAGCCAGGACCAGAGCCAUAUAGAGUGAGAGUUGCGACAACUCCAUUGACUCCAAUGGAACGCUUUUUUUACAGCAAUGGCGGCUCGUGGAGCCUCUCAAUAGUUCCCGGAAGUAGCGGCAAACCGAUGCCGCGCCGUAGAAGAUGCAGCAGAACAAACCGUUUGCGACGCACUUUUAACAGGUGGAGGAUUAGUGGUGCCACUGAAGUGUUCUGUGAUGGAGCAUCAGUGAGGAUGCAGGUCAGGAGAGCUGAGGGGACCUUUUUUUUUUGAUAGCUGAAUUUUCAUUAUUUUUCUUAGUGCUGCCUUUGCAUUGCUUGAUCUUUAUUUUUUUUUCUUGUCUCUUAAAUUUUUUUAAUAAACCCUGGUAACUGGCUGAUGGUUCACAGGAAUGCUGACUGGCUGCUGACUGACUUGCUGCUGGUUGACUGGGCAGUGUCACCUGUCCCUGUCUCUCCUCUCUAGCCAUGUCCUUUUUCUUCACUCUCACUUUCCUUUCUCUGAGUGUCCUCGUUCUUUUUUCCUCAACUUUUGAAACUGAUAGAGGUAGAAUACAUGGUUUUGCUAAUUUUAAAUAUUGAAAAUAUCACAUCACUUUACUUCAACUAGUACGAGUUUGUACUUAUUAUAUAUGAAUCACCUGAAAUAACAUAGCUGUAAUCAGCAGCCAUUUCUUGUAUGUUCACAGGUCUAGGGGUGCAUCGUGGAGCAGGGCCCUCCUCUUUUUGACCACAGGACGGUGUACAAAGAUUGUGGGAAUAGCAUCUGGUCUCAGCCUACUCUUGAAUUUUUUGGUCAUGACAAAUUGCAUUGCCACAAUUUGUCUGCAUACUGACUUCAGUUUAGUUUCCACACACACCUUUUUUUUUGUCUACCCACUUACAGUACAUAUCACAUGGUGGUUAAAUGCACAGUUAUAGGUAACACUGAUGACUCCCUGCAAUGUCUCACCAUGAGUCUCAGCUCCCUGGGUUUUGCAAGGCUUUGCUUGUUCCUUAUUUCUAGUAAAACAUUGUCAAUGUAAAAAAGUGCAAAUAAAUCGGGGAAGCCAUACAUUCGCACACCUUUCUCUGACUGAGUGGAGCAUCCCCAUGCAGCACAGUAAACCACGGUGGAGACUAUGCAAGGACAACAUGAAAGAAAGGACACAUACAAAAUGCUUGUCAUGCUAUUAAAUUUAUUAGAAAUGUAUUCAUGAAUUGCUGUAAAUAGUUAAUUGUAUAAUUACAAUUUAAAAUAACUGUUUUCUAUUUUAAAAUGGAAUAUACUCCUGUGAUGCCAACCUGAAUUUUCAGCAUCAUUUUGAAUGGCAGUGUACAUGUUUAUAUACGAGCAUGCUUAAGUUGUUUUAAACCUGAAUAUAUUGUGUACAUGAAUAAGUAUUGUAAGAAUUAUACUAGAUAUAAUAGAUAUAUUAUUUAUAAUACAUAAUUAUAUUACUAUAUGUAAUUGUAAGAAUUAUAAACCGUAAGCUUCAUUUUACAUUUAUUUAACAUGCUAAUUACUGCUGGUAACAGUUAAUUGACCCAUAGUGCGGUGCGAGCUGAAAAUCACCUGUUACCAGCCUGUCUCUGUACUACCUGAAAGUCAUCGAUAUGACAUGAGUUAACAUUAGAUCAGUGAAAAAAUUGACAAUAUGUAACGUUAAAAGGCAACAGCAACCCGUGUUUAUAAAACUUAACGUUAGCCUGAAAUACGUUUUUAAAAUAACGGUAAUUGAACACUAAUCCUCAAAUAUUACCCGAUUUGAUAUUUUAAAAACAACAUCGCUGUAACUACAUACUCAUGCUACAUACAUAUGUCAGUGUGUUGUAUAAACAUAUAAAAUAAAUGCAUUUAUUGACUCCUUAUUACCAGAAA
Molecule: long non-coding RNA, 2511 nt
Organism: Carassius gibelio (silver crucian carp)
Lineage: Eukaryota; Metazoa; Chordata; Actinopteri; Cypriniformes; Cyprinidae
Exons: 3
Source: RefSeq, a predicted model, not a curated record